RNAcentral lists this ribosomal RNA (2193 nucleotides) under Triticum aestivum (bread wheat). Its description in RNAcentral is "partial small subunit ribosomal RNA". Lineage: Eukaryota; Viridiplantae; Streptophyta; Magnoliopsida; Poales; Poaceae. The record is from RNAcentral.
AUGAUGAAGAUGCAUGGUCAUUGCUUAGAAAACAGUGAGACAGAUGGACCUGAAGUUGAUAUGCUUAAGGAUAUUGGAUUGCAAAUUGCUGUAAAAUGUGGUGGUUUGCCUCUUGCUGUCAAAGUAAUGGGAGGACUGUUGUGUCAGAAGGAUAAACGACGCCAUGAAUGGAGUAUGGUUCUGAAUGAUUCCAUAUGGUCAGCAUCUGAAAUGCCUGAAGAGCUAAACUAUUCAAUAUAUUUAAGCUAUGAAGAUUUACCUCCUUCCAUCAAGCAGUGCUUUCUAUACUACUCCCUUCUCCCCAAAAGUGCAGUGUGGUAUAAAAAUAGCAUUAUUGGCAUGUGGAUUAGCGAAGGAUUUCUUCACAGAAACUCUGAUGACUUAGAAGAGUUAGGAAGCAAGUACUAUAAGGAGCUGAUACUGAGGAACCUCAUAGAGCCAGUUACAAAAUGGUCUGAUCAGCAAGUUUGCAGCAUGCAUGAUGUUGUUCGCUCAUUUGCUCAAUUUGUGGCUAGAGAUGAGGCACUAGCAGCUCACAGUGGAGAUACUGGUUUCAUUAGUAAACUUAGUGCACACAAGUUCCUUCGGUUGUCUAUGGAAAAGAAAGUAUCAGAAUCAGAUGGGUUGGGCUGGAGUUCCUUACAUGCACAAAAGACACUGAGAACACUAAUAUUAGUUGGCCCUAUAUCUAUGAAGCCUAGUGAUUCGAUUGUUGAUUUUCCCUGCCUACGAACUCUACAUACAGAAUCUGUAGAUGUUGCUGUAUUGGUUGAGUCUUUGGGGAAACUCAAGCACUUGAGGUACUUGUUCAUAUGGAAAUCCGAUAUAUCAAGUUUGCCAGAUAACAUUGGAAACAUGAAAUUUCUGCAGUUCAUUUGCCUUGUAAAAUGCCAGCAAUCUGUGAAACUUCCACAUAGCAUUUUGAAGCUAGCGCAACUGAGGUAUCUUAACUUUCAUGACUCUAGUAUAAAUGGUAUACCAAAGGGGUUCAGUGUUCUAACAAAUCUAAGGAACCUGCGUGGGUUUCCAGCCCAGACAGAUGGUGUUUGGUGUAGUUUGGAUGAGUUAGGCCCUCUUUCUGAGCUCAGAUCUCUUGGAGUGCAGAGAUUGGAGAAUGUGUCCGUUACCUCGUCUGCGGCAAAGGCAAAGCUUGGUGAGAAAGUUCAUCUGACCCACUUGUUUUUAUACUGCAGCAGUAUAUUGGGAGAUGAUGGGCUGAUUAAAGAUGAAAAGGGUGUCUCUGAGGAAGAACAGCGACAAAUUGCGGGUGUGUUUGAUGAGCUCUGCCCUUCGCCUAGCUUAGAGUAUCUUGAUAUAAAUGGAUUUUUUGGCCGACGGCUCCCAAGGUGGAUGAUGUCAAGAUCAGCACCGGUCUUCAAGAGCUUGAGGAUUAUAUUCAUGCUUGAUCUAGCUUGUUGCACCCAACUACCAGAUUGCUUGUGUCAACUCCCAUGUUUGCAGGACAUUAACAUCCGUCGCGCUCCAGCCAUCAAGCGUGUUGGACCUGAAUUCCUGCAAUCCUACCAGACACCGGCUGCGUUUCCGAGAUUGAGGAGGUUGGAGUUAACUGGAAUGGUGGAAUGGGAGGAGUGGGAGUGGGAGGAGCAGGUGCAAGCCAUGCCUCUUUUGGAGGUGCUUGAGCUCAAAAGUUGCAGAUUGAGGUGUCUUCCUCCUGGCCUCGCCUCACAUGCGAGGGCUUUAAAGUCUAUAUCUGCACAAAAUAACCAGCACCUCAACUCACUAGAGAACUUUGCUUCUGCUGUUGAGCUGGAAGUGGCUGAAAGCCCCGACUUGGAGAGGAUCGCUAAUCUUCCCAAUCUGCGGAAGCUUGAGAUCGAGGCUUGCCCAAAGCUGAAUGUACUGGAGGGUAUUUGUGCACUCCAGAGGCUCGUAUUGGAGGAUUAUGCCAUGGAAACACUUCCUGAAUACAUGCGAGAUGUAAACCCAAGGCAUUUUGAGUUACGCUGCAGCCUGACGUUGCUCACUUCCAUAGCCGUGGGACAAUCUGGACCUGAGUGGGACAAGUUCAGCCGUAUCGACCAUGUCAAGGCAUAUGCACCCGAUGAGAACAAUAAAAGGAAAUGGUACGUGUUGUACACGAGGGAGCCCUGCAGCAUGGACACAAAUGUCCGCCACUCCAUAUCUGCAGUUUAUUCAGGGGAUGAAGAGGAGGACCAGCAAGUAAUUUCAUGA